Molecule: ribosomal RNA, 198 nt
Filed under: uncultured bacterium
Lineage: Bacteria
Description: partial 16S ribosomal RNA
Rfam family: Bacterial small subunit ribosomal RNA
Source: RNAcentral
ACGCUCGACACCUACAGGAGGCAGCAGUCGGGAAUAUUGCGCAAUGGAGGAAACUCUGACGCAGUGACGCCGCGUGCAGGAAGAAGGUUUUCGGAUUGUAAACUGCUUUAGACAGGGAAGAUGAUGACAGUACCUGUAGAAUAAGCUCCGGCUAACUACGUGCCAGUAGCCGCGGUGAUCUGAGCGGGCUGGCAAGGC